Molecule: transfer RNA, 75 nt
Rfam family: tRNA
About the family: Transfer RNA (tRNA) molecules are approximately 80 nucleotides in length.
GCGCCCGUAGCUCAAUUUGGAUAGAGCGAGGCACUCCUAAGGCCGAGGUUGGCGGUUCAAGUCCGCCCGGGCGCG